RNAcentral lists this ribosomal RNA (490 nucleotides) under marine sediment bacterium ISA-1198a. Its description in RNAcentral is "bacterial SSU rRNA". It matches the Rfam family "Bacterial small subunit ribosomal RNA", at positions 37 to 498 of the family's 1533-position model. The record is from RNAcentral.
UGGCGGCGUGCCUAAUACAUGCAAGUCGAGCGCAGGAAAUCGACGGAACCCUUCGGGGGGAAGUCGACGGAAUGAGCGGCGGACGGGUGAGUAACACGUAAAGAACCUGCCCUCAGGUCUGGGAUAACCACGAGAAAUCGGGGCUAAUACCGGAUAGGUCAUCGAACCGCAUGGUUCGAGGAUGAAAGGCGCUUCGGCGUCGCCUGGGGAUGGCUUUGCGGUGCAUUAGCUAGUUGGUGGGGUAAUGGCCCACCAAGGCGACGAUGCAUAGCCGACCUGAGAGGGUGAUCGGCCACACUGGGACUGAGACACGGCCCAGACUCCUACGGGAGGCAGCAGUAGGGAAUCUUCCACAAUGGACGAAAGUCUGAUGGAGCAACGCCGCGUGAACGAUGAAGGCUUUCGGGUCGUAAAGUUCUGUUGUAAGGGAAGAACAAGUGCCGCAGGCAAUGGCGGCACCUUGACGGUACCUUGCGAGAAAGCCACGGCU